GAGUUUGAUCCUGGCUCAGAGCGAACGCUGGCGGCACGCUUUACACAUGCAAGUCGAGCGAGAAAGCGGCUUCGGUCGCAAGUAUAGCGGCGGACGGGUGCGUAUAACGUGGAUAACCUGCCUUAAGGACCGGGACAACCUUGGGAAACCAAGGCUAAUACCGGAUAUGACCACGAUGUCUGAGGGCAACGGGGUAAAAGAUGACCGUUUACGGUUGUCGCCUUUUGAGGGGUCCACGUCCUAUCAGGUAGUUGGUGGGGUAAAGGCCUACCAAGCCAAAGACGGGUAGCCGGCCUUAGCGGGUGAUCGGCACACGGGGACUGAGACACGGCCCGACUCCUACGGGAGGCAGCAGUGGGGAAUAUUGGGCAAUGGGCGAAAGCCUGGCCCAGCGAUGCCGCGUGAGGGAAGAAGGCCUUCGGGUUGUAAACCUAUGUCAAGAGGGAAGAAGGGUCUGAAAUUAACCUUGCGGGCUUGACUGUACCUCCAGAGGAAGCCCCGGUAACUCCGUGCAGCAGCCGCGGUAAUACCGGAGGGGGCAAGCGUUGCUCGGAAUUACUGGGCGUAAAAGAGUCCGAGGUGGUCUUGCAGUUGGAUGUUGAAAGCCCGGAGUUAACUUCCGGAAUUGGCUUCCAAACUGGUUGACUUGGAGUCCACGA
RNAcentral lists this ribosomal RNA (659 nucleotides) under uncultured delta proteobacterium. RNAcentral describes it as "bacterial SSU rRNA". It matches the Rfam family "Bacterial small subunit ribosomal RNA", at positions 9 to 654 of the family's 1533-position model. Lineage: Bacteria; Deltaproteobacteria. The record is from RNAcentral.